AACGAACGCUGGCGGCAGGCCUAACACAUGCAAGUCGAACGCCGUAGCAAUACGGAGUGGCAGACGGGUGAGUAACACGUGGGAACGUACCCUUCGGUUCGGGAUAACUCAGGGAAACUUGAGCUAAUACCGGAUAAGUCCGAGAGGAGAAAGAUUUAUCGCCGAGGGAUCGGCCCGCGUCUGAUUGGCUUGUUGGUGAGGUAACGGCUCACCAAGGCGACGAUCAGUAGCUGGUCGAGAGGAUGAUCAGCCACAUUGGGACUGAGACACGGCCCAAACUCCUACGGGAGGCAGCAGUGGGGAAUAUUGGACAAUGGGCGCAAGCCUGAUCCAGCCAUGCCGCGUGAGUGAUGAAGGCCCUAGGGUUGUAAAGCUCUUUUACCCGGGAAGAUAAUGACUGUACCGGGAGAAUAA
Molecule: ribosomal RNA, 414 nt
Filed under: uncultured bacterium
Lineage: Bacteria
Description: bacterial SSU rRNA
Rfam family: Bacterial small subunit ribosomal RNA
Source: RNAcentral